AACGUAGGUCACGAGCGUUGUCCGGAAUUACUGGGUGUAAAGGGAGCGCAGGCGGGAGAACAAGUUGGAAGUGAAAUCCAUGGGCUCAACCCAUGAACUGCUUUCAAAACUGUUUUUCUUGAGUAGUGCAGAGGUAGGCGGAAUUCCCGGUGUAGCGGUGGAAUGCGUAGAUAUCGGGAGGAACACCAGUGGCGAAGGCGGCCUACUGGGCACCAACUGACGCUGAGGCUCGAAAGUGUGGGUAGCAAACAGG
Molecule: ribosomal RNA, 253 nt
Filed under: Faecalibacterium prausnitzii
Lineage: Bacteria; Bacillati; Bacillota; Clostridia; Eubacteriales; Oscillospiraceae
Description: partial 16S ribosomal RNA
Rfam family: Bacterial small subunit ribosomal RNA
Source: RNAcentral